RNAcentral lists this ribosomal RNA (310 nucleotides) under Massilimicrobiota sp. An134. RNAcentral's name for it is "bacterial SSU rRNA". It matches the Rfam family "Bacterial small subunit ribosomal RNA", at positions 1 to 316 of the family's 1533-position model. The record is from RNAcentral. Lineage: Bacteria; Bacillati; Bacillota; Erysipelotrichia; Erysipelotrichales; Erysipelotrichaceae.
CAAUGGAGAGUUUGAUCCUGGCUCAGGAUGAACGCUGGCGGCGUGCCUAAUACAUGCAAGUCGGACGCAAUGCUUCGGCAUUGAGUGGCGAACGGGUGAGUAAUACAUAAGCAACCUGCCCCUGUGAGGGGGAUAACUGCUGGAAACGGCAGCUAAGACCGCAUAGGCAUACAUGACGCAUGUCGAGUAUGUUAAAUAUCCUACGGGAUAGCACAGGGAUGGGCUUAUGACGCAUUAGCUAGCUGGUGAGGUAGAGGCUCACCAGGGCGACGAUGCGUAGCCGGCCUGAGAGGGUGGACGGCCACACUGG